AUUGUGGCAGGAUGAAUGGUAUCCCUCGGUCCAACCCACUUUCAGCCUGGCGCAUUAGGGGGCGCUAGUAUAAAUAGUGGCCAUUUGAGUGUCCCUGGAUCGCUUGCCUGUGACCUCCUUUUUGGUCACCUGACUUCCUGUUGGUGUUGCUGAGAUUAGUUGCGGGUUACUUUUCUGAAGCCUCCAUCGCAGCUGGUAGGUGUUUACUCAUUGUAGUGUAUAUAUUACUUUGCUUGAUGGUAAACAGCUAUUGUUUGUAGGUCGUAGCUGUAGAAGCCUCCUCUGAGCCAUUCUGCUUACGUUUUAUGACACGGCUUACUUGAUGCGGAGUGCUGACGUGGAGGAGACUAGGGUGCCUUGGUGGUGGGAUCCUCUGAGUGUACACACCUGCCUUGUUUAAUUUAUUAGUG
Long non-coding RNA from Oreochromis aureus, 410 nucleotides. RefSeq lists it as uncharacterized. The record is from RefSeq and is a predicted model, not a curated record. NCBI's taxonomy places the organism in Eukaryota, Metazoa, Chordata, Actinopteri, Cichliformes, Cichlidae. The transcript has 2 exons.